GUAUGAAAUGAUCAAUGAUUAAUUUCCUUAUUGGUCUGAGUGGCCAACAUGAUGUCCUAAAUAGUGAACCGAAUCUGAUCAUCC
Molecule: small nucleolar RNA, 84 nt
Organism: Triticum dicoccoides
Lineage: Eukaryota; Viridiplantae; Streptophyta; Magnoliopsida; Poales; Poaceae
Product: small nucleolar RNA Z102/R77
Exons: 1
Source: RefSeq, a predicted model, not a curated record